UACGUAGGGUGCGAGCGUUAAUCGGAAUUACUGGGCGUAAAGCGUGCGCCGGCGGUUUUGUAAGCCAGGUGUUAAAUCCCCGGGCUUAACCUGGGAAUGGCAUUUGGGACUGCAAGGCUCGAGUGCGGCAGAGGAGACUGGAAUUCCUGGUGUAGCAGUGAAAUGCGUAGAUAUCAGGAGGAACACCGAUGGCGAAGGCAGGUCUCUGGGCUGACACUGACGCUCAUGCACGAAAGCGUGGGGAGCAAACAGG
Molecule: ribosomal RNA, 253 nt
Filed under: uncultured bacterium
Lineage: Bacteria
Description: partial 16S ribosomal RNA
Rfam family: Bacterial small subunit ribosomal RNA
Source: RNAcentral